CUGCUGUCCGCCAGAGAACUACAAGUGAAAAACUUUAAACUCAAAGGACUUGGCGGUGUCCCAUAUCGACCUAGAGGAGCCUGUCCUAUAAUCGAUACUCCCCGCUCUACCUAACCUCAACUAGCACCCCACAGCCUAUAUACCGCCGUCGACAGUCUACCCCAUGAGGGCCCAACAGUAGACACAAUAGCCCAACCACUAGCACGUCAGGUCAAGGUGUAGCAUAUGCUGAGGAAGAGAUUGGCUACAUUUUUUAUAUUAAAAAACACGAAAUGCAACAUGAAACCCUGCAUGAAGGUGAAUUUAGUAGUAAGAUCUAAUAAGAGUAUUUAUCUUAACAACGCUCUGGGACGCGCACACACCGCCCGUCA
RNAcentral lists this ribosomal RNA (371 nucleotides) under Eremias velox caucasia. RNAcentral's name for it is "partial 12S ribosomal RNA". It matches the Rfam family "Bacterial small subunit ribosomal RNA", at positions 862 to 1399 of the family's 1533-position model. Lineage: Eukaryota; Metazoa; Chordata; Lepidosauria; Squamata; Lacertidae. The record is from RNAcentral.